AAAGCCACUAAGCUUCAGCUAUUGACGACCGUACCGCAAACCGACACUGGUGCGCGAGAUGAGUAUUCUAAGGCGCUUGAGAGAACUCAGGAGAAGGAACUCGGCAAAUUGAUACCGUAACUUCGGGAGAAGGUAUGCCCCAAGUAGGUGAACUCGUACAGAGGGAGCCCAACGGGGUUGCAAAAAAUCGGUGGCUGCGACUGUUUAAUAAAAACACAGCACUCUGCAAACACGAAAGUGGACGUAUAGGGUGUGACGCCUGCCCGGUGCUGGAAGAUUAAAUGAUGGGGUGCAAGCUCUUGAUUGAAGUCCCAGUAAACGGCGGCCGUAACUAUAACGGUCCUAAGGUAGCGAAAUUCCUUGUCGGGUAAGUUCCGACCUGCACGAAUGGCGUAACGAUGGCCACACUGUCUCCUCCUGAGACUCAGCGAAGUUGAAAUGUUUGUGAUGAUGCAAUCUCCCCGCGGAAAGACGGAAAGACCCCAUGAACCUUUACUGUAGCUUUGUAUUGGACUUUGAACAGAUCUGUGUAGGAUAGGUGGGAGGCUUUGAAGUGAGGACGCUAGUUCUCAUGGAGCCAACGUUGAAAUACCACCCUGGUGUGUUUGAGGUUCUAACCUAGGUCCAUUAUCUGGAUCGGGGACAGUGCAUGGUAGGCAGUUUGACUGGGGCGGUCUCCUCCCAAAGCGUAACGGAGGAGUUCGAAGGUACGCUAGUUACGGUCGGACAUCGUGACGAUAGUGCAAUGGCAUAAGCGUGCUUAACUGCGAGACUGACAAGUCGAGCAGAUGCGAAAGCAGGACAUAGUGAUCCGGUGGUUCUGUAUGGAAGGGCCAUCGCUCAACGGAUAAAAGGUACUCUGGGGAUAACAGGCUGAUACCGCCCAAGAGUUCAUAUCGACGGCGGUGUUUGGCACCUCGAUGUCGGCUCAUCUCAUCCUGGGGCUGUAGCCGGUCCCAAGGGUAUGGCUGUUCGCCAUUUAAAGAGGUACGUGAGCUGGGUUUAAAACGUCGUGAGACAGUUUGGUCCCUAUCUUCCGUGGGCGCUGCAGAUUUGAGGAAGCCUGCUCCUAGUACGAGAGGACCGGAGUGGACACACCUCUGGUGUAUCGGUUGUCACGCCAGUGGCAUUGCCGAGUAGCUAAGUGUGGAAGAGAUAACCGCUGAAAGCAUCUAAGCGGGAAACUCGUUUCAAGAUGAGAUCUGCCGGGGCCUUGAGCCCCCUAAAGAGUCGUUCAAGACCAGGACGUUGAUAGGUCAGGUGUGGAAGCGCAGUAAUGCGUUAAGCUAACUGAUACUAAUUGCUCGUGCGGCUUGACCCUAUAACUUUG
RNAcentral lists this ribosomal RNA (1330 nucleotides) under Acidovorax sp. HMWF018. RNAcentral describes it as "bacterial LSU rRNA". It matches the Rfam family "Bacterial large subunit ribosomal RNA", at positions 1614 to 2925 of the family's 2925-position model. The record is from RNAcentral. Lineage: Bacteria; Pseudomonadati; Pseudomonadota; Betaproteobacteria; Burkholderiales; Comamonadaceae.